UAUAUUAAAGUUGCUGCGGUUAAAAAGCUCGUAGUUGGAUCUCAGUUCUGGACCGACGGUUCGCCUCUGGUGAUUUACUGUCGGUCCAAACAGAUCGUCGGCUCGCACGGGGUGCUCUUCAUCGAGUGUCCCGCGUGGCUGGCAUGUUUACUUUGAAAAAAUUAGAGUGCUCAAAGCAGGCUAUCGCCUGAAUAGUUGUGCAUGGAAUGAUGGAAUAGGACCUCGGUUCUAUUUUGUUGGUUCUAGGAACCCGAGGUAAUGAUUAAAAGAGACGGACGGGGGCAUUCGUAUUGCGACGCUAGAGGUGAAAUUCUUGGACCGUCGCAAGACGAACUACUGCGAAAGCAUUUGCCAAGUACGUUCUCAUUAAUCAAGAACGAAAGUUAGAGGUUCGAAGGCGAUCAGAUACCGCCCUAGUUCUAACUGUAAACUUUGCUGACUAGCGAUCCGUCUGUGUUAAUCCCAUGACUAGGCGGGCAGCUUCCGGGAAACCAAAGUCUUUGAGUUCCGGGGGAAGUAUGGUUGCAAAGCUGAAACUUAAAGGAAUUGACGGAAGGGCACCACCAGGAGUGGAGCCUGCGGCUUAAUUUGACUCAACACGGGGAACCUCACCAGGCCCGGACACCGGAAGGAUUGACAGAUUGAGAGCUCUUUCUUGAUUCGGUGGGUGGUGGUGCAUGGCCGUUCUUAGUUGGUGGAGCGAUUUGUCUGGUUAAUUCCGAUAACGAACGAGACUCUAGCCUGCUAACUAGUCGGAGGGUUUAAUACAAUUGCCCUCCGCAGCUUCUUAGAGGGAUAAGCGGCAUCUAGCCGC
This 814-nucleotide ribosomal RNA is filed under the name Siriella gracilipes. RNAcentral's name for it is "SSU rRNA". It matches the Rfam family "Eukaryotic small subunit ribosomal RNA", at positions 600 to 1437 of the family's 1831-position model. Lineage: Eukaryota; Metazoa; Arthropoda; Malacostraca; Mysida; Mysidae. The record is from RNAcentral.